UUCCUUAAGAAAAUAUUUAAGGUACUGCCUGCUCGAUGAUAUAAAUAAAGUAUAAAUUGCUGCGGUAUCUUAACUGCACUAAGGUAGCAUAAUUAAUUGUCUUUUAAAUGGUGACUUGUUUGAAUGGCGUAAUGAGAGAAAGAUUUUCUUUGAGUUAAUAUGAAAUUAUAUACUGGGGUCAAAAUACCCAGAAAUAGUAGAAAGACGAGAAGACCCUGUUGAGUUUUACAGUUAGUCUGUUUAAAUGGGAAAUUUAAUCCCUAAUUGGGAUUUAAUUGAUCUUGGAAAAUUUAUUUUUCGGAUAUAGGAUAAAAUUACCACAGGGAUAACAGGACAAUGCCAACUAAGAGUCCAAAUUAAAGUUGGCGAUUGUUACCUCGAUGUUGAAUCGGAAAUGUCCUACUGGUGCAACGGUUAGGUAGGAGGGUCUGUUCGACCUUUAAACUUCC
This 449-nucleotide ribosomal RNA is filed under the name Discocelis sp. YO-2019. RNAcentral describes it as "partial 16S ribosomal RNA". It matches the Rfam family "Bacterial large subunit ribosomal RNA", at positions 1829 to 2597 of the family's 2925-position model. The record is from RNAcentral. Lineage: Eukaryota; Metazoa; Platyhelminthes; Polycladida; Discocelidae.